RNAcentral lists this ribosomal RNA (433 nucleotides) under uncultured bacterium. RNAcentral's name for it is "partial 16S ribosomal RNA". It matches the Rfam family "Bacterial small subunit ribosomal RNA", at positions 29 to 507 of the family's 1533-position model. The record is from RNAcentral.
AACGAACGCUGGCGGCAUGCCUAACACAUGCAAGUCGAACGAGACCUUCGGGUCUAGUGGCGCACGGGUGCGUAACGCGUGGGAACCUGCCCUUAGGUUCGGAAUAACUCCCCGAAAGGGGUGCUAAUACCGGAUAAUGUCUUCGGACCAAAGAUUUAUCGCCUUUGGAUGGGCUCGCGUUGGAUUAGCUAGUUGGUAGGGUAAAAGCCUACCAAGGCGACGAUCCAUAGCUGGUCUGAGAGGAUGAUCAGCCACACUGGGACUGAGACACGGCCCAGACUACUACGGGAGGCAGCAGUGGGGAAUAUUGGACAAUGGGCGAUAGGCUGAUCCAGCAAUGCCGCGUGAGUGAUGAAGGCCGUAGGGUUGUAAAGCUCUUUUACCCGGGAUGAUAAUGACAGUACCGGGAGAAUAAGCUCCGGCUAACUCCGUG